RNAcentral lists this ribosomal RNA (252 nucleotides) under uncultured bacterium. RNAcentral describes it as "partial 16S ribosomal RNA". It matches the Rfam family "Bacterial small subunit ribosomal RNA", at positions 524 to 776 of the family's 1533-position model. The record is from RNAcentral.
UACGUAGGGGGCUAGCGUUAUCCGGAAUUACUGGGCGUAAAGGGUGCGUAGGUGGUUUCUUAAGUCAGAGGUGAAAGGCUACGGCUCAACCGUAGUAAGCCUUUGAAACUGGGAAACUUGAGUGCAGGAGAGGAGAGUGGAACUCCAUGUGUAGCGGUGAAAUGCGUAGAUAUAUGGAAGAACACCAGUGGCGAAAGCGGCUCUCUGGUCUGUAACUGACGCUGAGGUUCGAAAGCGUGGGUAGCAAACAGG